CCAGCCAGUCCUACAUACACACACAUGCAUGCAUCGUACGUCGUCACACAGCGCCGAGAGCGAAGCUCGCUCGUCAAUCUACAUCAAAACCUAACAAAGUUGAACGUCACACCAGUUGUCGUGCUUGUGAGUGAUAUACCAGCUUCGGGUCGAGCUUGUGUCCGCACCGUGGGCAGCAGCUCGACUCCGACAGGUACUUCCCGUGCUCCUCGUUCCUCGAGCCCACGACGCGGUGGCCGCCGCCGCUUCCAGUCGCCGCCGCCGCUGCACCAUCCAUGGCUGCUCCCUGCAGCUCUCCUUGCUGCCAAGAGCCCAUACGAGUCUAGCAGCACGGCGCGCCCUUUACCAUACCAGCCCGUGCAUGAUCACAUGCAUGUGGUUCAGAGGGCUGGAUCGAGGAGAGGGAGACGGGAUCCACGCCGCCGCGCGCUGUGCCGUCCGAGCCUGGAGAGAAACGAGAUCGAGAGGAAGAGAAGAGGAGGAAGGAGAGAAGGGGG
Molecule: unclassified non-coding RNA, 497 nt
Filed under: Zea mays
Lineage: Eukaryota; Viridiplantae; Streptophyta; Magnoliopsida; Poales; Poaceae
Description: misc RNA Zm00001eb384330
Source: RNAcentral